GGACAGUAUGUUCUAGAAUGUAUGAAGAUGGUGAGCGACAAAGGAACCAUCAGUGUAGCAUUUGAAGCUGCAAAUCCGCAUGGAGAUUAUUUAUCCCAAGGUUGGUGAGCAUUCUGAAAACAUUCACAUAAUUUAUCUGUCACAUCCACACACGACAGUAUUUUAAGAGGCUGCAUUUUAUGUUGAUGCACUUAGACUUACUCGUUAAUUUUUCUUGCCCCCGAUGAUUUCUCCAACUCAAGGAAUUUAAGCACUUGUUAUUUAUUACCCGUUCUUUGGUUUUUAGCUAGGUGAAUAUUUAAAUCUGCCACAUUCAUUAUAGGUGGGCUGGAGUUCUACUUCAGAAAAGAUUUACUGUUGAAUCAGUGUUUUGAGACAAAAUCUACAAUGAAGAAGGCAGCUGCCAGAACAGAUAUUCAUCCAUUGCAGGUCCAACAAGCGCAAAUAUUUAACCAUAGCAACACAUUGUGUAAUGCACAGAUUCCAUCUUGUUUUUGUUUCAAAUGUAUAAAAUACCAGUCACCAUUCAUGUUCGUGCUGCUUCUCUCUGAAGAUGAAUGGAAGAGAUUCAUGGUAUGACAAAAAGGAUGUGAAAAUAUAUGGAGCAAUACAAAAUUUUCAUUUUCAUAUUGACUAUUUACAUUAUUGGGAGUUUCCAUGUCAGGCAUAUCCAACUCAAGUCUUCAUUUUAGAGAAGGGUGCUGGUUCACAUCAUGCUUUCCUAACCUGUUGUUUCAGGUUUAGCUGUAAUAUGGUUUAUGAUAAUUGAAUAAUACAAAUUACUGCAUUCUAUCAUUAUGGUUUUGACGUAGACAAGUAUUUCACUUGCAUAAAUUCCUUCCAUGUUCAUUCUGUAUCCUGUGUGUCAAUUAUUUCUUUACUCUCUUCAAUGCAUAGUAAAAUAAUUAAUUUGUUUGAUUAUCACUUUAUUAUUUGGAAUUUCUUGCUUAUAAAAGUAGUUAUAUCUUAUUCCAGUGCUGUAUAUGUGCCUAACAAGAAAAAUGAUGAAAGUGUAGAAGUCUUGGUUCAAUUCUUACCGUAUGCAAGUCCAUGGAUGAUAUGAACUGUUCAAACAAGAACUCCUGAACAACGAACGAGCAAUUCAAGGAUUGGAGUGAUAAUAAAACUGAAUCUUGGAACAGGAAGGGUCAACAUGAUUCUGAGUAGCAACAUGAGGUAUCUGCAAUUGAAGAAGUCAAGAAAAUUUUGAUCAUCUCGAUACAUGGAAACCUAUGCUGACAGCAGCUGGAGGAGGGGCUAGAGAUAAUAAGAAACAGGUGGAUCCAAAAUGUAGUAGAAAAGGAAAAAACGCUUCAUUGUCUUGUCAAAAUAAAGGGAAUAGAAGAAGAAGAGAGGAGGUUCAAAAAUGCUAAAAAGAAUGUUCUAACAACAUAACCAUGGGUGGCAUAUUGGGUAAGUAGUUGAUCGACUAAAUUUUAGCUUCUUUUUUAUAAAAUUCUUCCAGGAAAUUCUGAUGUGGAGGAUUCAACAGAUGAGGCUACAAAUAUUCUAUUGAGAUGGGUUACAGGUAAAACCUAAGCUCACUUCUAUGCAUAAUAAUUAUUACUUGC
RNAcentral lists this long non-coding RNA (1571 nucleotides) under Olea europaea (common olive). RNAcentral describes it as "long non-coding RNA (OEUR_LNC007220)". Lineage: Eukaryota; Viridiplantae; Streptophyta; Magnoliopsida; Lamiales; Oleaceae. The record is from RNAcentral.